RNAcentral lists this long non-coding RNA (217 nucleotides) under Elaeis guineensis (African oil palm). RNAcentral's name for it is "long non-coding RNA (EGUI_LNC015537)". The record is from RNAcentral. Lineage: Eukaryota; Viridiplantae; Streptophyta; Magnoliopsida; Arecales; Arecaceae.
CAACUAUCUUGUUGACUAUUCUAUAUUGAUUUAGACAUCGGAGGAUCCCUACAUGAUACAGCUCCGAUCAAUGUGGACUUCUUUUGCAGGUUGCUCUUCACCGGAGUCAAGCACAGUCAAGGAUUGGCCGCAACAACUCUUAACCAAAUGAGUAGAAUGGGAGUUAUUCAUGCCCAUUUCCAUUCAAUAAUCCAACUCUCCCAAACCUAGUAUAAGU